UUUUAUUAGAUAUAAUUAAUAAUAUAAUCUGCUCAAUGAAAUUUAAAUAGCCGCAAAUAUCUGUGCUAAGGUAGCAUAAUAAUUUGUCUUUUAAAUAAAGACUAGAAUGAAUGAUUAAACAUUUUAAAUUAUAUAUUUAUUAUUAAUAAUAUAAAUUAUUCUAAAUAUAAUAAAACAUUUCUAAAAAAGAAAGACGAUAAGACCCUAUCAAACUUAACUUUAGUUAAACUGGGGCAGUUAAUGAAAAAUCAUUUUAAUUAAAAUAAUCUAACCUAUAACCUAAAAAAUUUAAACAAAGAACAAGUUACUGUAGGGAUAACAGUGUAAUAUAUUCUACAAGACCUUAUACAAAAAUAAGAUUACAACCUCGAUGUUGAAUAGUAACCUUUUUAAUGCAAAAGUUAAAUAAAGGAAGUCUGUUCGACCUUUAAAAAACUACA
This 440-nucleotide ribosomal RNA is filed under the name Cambalida cf. fulvipes MR482. RNAcentral's name for it is "partial 16S ribosomal RNA". Lineage: Eukaryota; Metazoa; Arthropoda; Arachnida; Araneae; Corinnidae. The record is from RNAcentral.